UUGGUGAAGAGAUCGAAUGCUAGGCACCGGCUUAAAAGACAGUCUGUUGUCACGGUGAAUCGUUUCCGCAUAUCGGAAUAUUCUUCUCUUACAAUGUGACCUCGGUUGUGUUAGAAAUGAAUUCGCGUAUUCAUAGAGAUCUUUUGCUGUCCUUAUCUGAGUCUGUCCGCGUAAAAUGGCACAGUCGGCUUGUCUCUUAAUAAUUCCUCCAGCAGCGUCUUGUGGUCCUGAAAUGCACAGAUAAGUUUUUUUAUGUCAACUGCAUGACAUUGGACCUUACCAUUUUACCGCGUUCAAGGUUUAUGAUUUUUAUAAUAGUAACAAUACCGAAAGUCACGAGAAAUAUAAGAGAUACAUUCAAUACC
This 365-nucleotide long non-coding RNA is filed under the name Mytilus galloprovincialis (Mediterranean mussel). The record is from RNAcentral. Lineage: Eukaryota; Metazoa; Mollusca; Bivalvia; Mytilida; Mytilidae.